UACGGAGGAUGCAAGCGUUAUCCGGAGUUAUUGGGCGUAAAGCGCGCGCAGGCGGCCUCGCGCGCCCGACGUGAAAGCCCCCGGCUUAACCGGGGAGGGUCGUUGGGGACGGCGGGGCUUGAGGGCGGGAGAGGUCGGUGGAAUUCCCGGUGUAGUGGUGAAAUGCGUAGAGAUCGGGAGGAACACCUGUGGCGAAGGCGGCCGACUGGGCCGACCCUGACGCUGAGGCGCGAAGGCGUGGGGAGCGAACGGG
Molecule: ribosomal RNA, 253 nt
Filed under: uncultured bacterium
Lineage: Bacteria
Description: partial 16S ribosomal RNA
Rfam family: Bacterial small subunit ribosomal RNA
Source: RNAcentral